AAUCAACGCUGGCGGCGUGCCUCAGACAUGCAAGUCGAACGAUUAAAGCUCUCUUCGGAGAGUGUAUAGAGUGGCGCACGGGUGAGUAACACGUAAGUAAUCUACCCUCGAGUGGGGAAUAACAACCGGAAACGGUUGCUAAUACCGCAUAAUGCAGCGGCACCGCAAGGUGACAGUUGUUAAAGAUUUAUCGCUUGAGGAGGAGCUUGCGGCAGAUUAGCUAGUUGGUAGGGUAACGGCUUACCAAGGCUACGAUCUGUAACCGGUCUAAGAGGACGGUCGGUCACACUGACACUGAAUAACGGGUCAGACUCCUACGGGAGGCAGCAGUCGGGAAUUUUGGGCAAUGGGCGAAAGCCUGACCCAGCAACGCCGCGUGAAGGAUGAAGUAUUUCGGUAUGUAAAACUUCGAAAGAAUAGGAAGAACUUAAUGACGGUACUAUUUAUAAGGUACCGGCUAACUACGUGCCAGCAGCCGCGGUAAU
This 485-nucleotide ribosomal RNA is filed under the name uncultured bacterium. RNAcentral's name for it is "bacterial SSU rRNA". It matches the Rfam family "Bacterial small subunit ribosomal RNA", at positions 32 to 524 of the family's 1533-position model. The record is from RNAcentral.